UACGAAGGGGGCUAGCGUUGCUCGGAAUCACUGGGCGUAAAGCGCACGUAGGCGGCUUUCUAAGUCAGGGGUGAAAUCCUGGAGCUCAACUCCAGAACUGCCUUUGAUACUGGAGAGCUUGAGUCCGGGAGAGGUGAGUGGAACUCCGAGUGUAGAGGUGAAAUGCGUAGAUAUCGAGAGGAACACCUGCGGCGAAGGCGGGUUGCUGGGCUGAUACUGACGCUGAUGCGCGAAAGCCAGGGGAGCGAACGGG
RNAcentral lists this ribosomal RNA (253 nucleotides) under uncultured prokaryote. Its description in RNAcentral is "partial 16S ribosomal RNA". It matches the Rfam family "Bacterial small subunit ribosomal RNA", at positions 524 to 776 of the family's 1533-position model. The record is from RNAcentral.